This is a non-coding RNA of Chiloscyllium plagiosum (whitespotted bambooshark), 274 nucleotides long. The record is from RefSeq and is a predicted model, not a curated record. Lineage: Eukaryota; Metazoa; Chordata; Chondrichthyes; Orectolobiformes; Hemiscylliidae.
GGCAAUCAAAGAGACUUCAACUUUUCAGUCCAAACGAAAGUCGAACACGCCCGAGUUUGGCCCACUUUACCUCACAUCAAAAGCACAGUGAUUGGUCGAAAAUCCAGCAGCAACACUGCACCCAGAAAAAAACAACACACCACGGCUGUCAGUAGCAAGACAACGCCAGAAACAUUAACCCUACCCUGUCGGCGAUCAAUUACACAAGUGAAAAGGCAAAUAAUUUUAUUAAUCUUCUGGCAAGUUGAGUCAUGUUAGGAAAAGCAAUGUCUAU